GGAGACGAAGUGCACGAGUUUGUCAUCGAAGCAUAACAAUCUACAAGGUGUGUCACUUCUAUAGCUGCUGUAUUUGGCAUAGUCGGAUUUACACCUGUACAAUUGUACCAUAAUCAUGUUGUAAAGAUUCAUUGGAUGCAUGUACGGUUGAACCGAUUUUGCAGUAAAAAAAACAGAAGCAGUAAUUUUGACGCUGUUCCAGUUUGUCAUCGAAGCAUAACAAUCUACAAGGUGUGUCACUUCUAUAGCUGCUGUAUUUGGCAUAGUCGGAUUUACACCUGUACAAUUGUACCAUAAUCAUGUUGUAAAGAUUCAUUGGAUGCAUGUACGGUUGAACCGAUUUUGCAGUAAAAAAAACAGAAGCAGUAAUUUUGACGCUGUUCCAGUUCUAUUUUUGUUAGUUGAACACUGUUUUUUUUCGAAUGUACGUCGCUUUCACUUCUAUAGCUGCUGUAUUUGGCAUAGUCGGAUUUACACCUGUACAAUUGUACCAUAAUCAUGUUGUAAAGAUUCAUUGGAUGCAUGUACGGUUGAACCGAUUUUGCAGUAAAAAAAACAGAAGCAGUAAUUUUGACGCUGUUCCAGUUCUAUUUUUGUUAGUUGAACACUG
Molecule: long non-coding RNA, 610 nt
Filed under: Triticum aestivum (bread wheat)
Lineage: Eukaryota; Viridiplantae; Streptophyta; Magnoliopsida; Poales; Poaceae
Description: long non-coding RNA (TAES_LNC021149)
Source: RNAcentral